AUUGAACGCUGGCGGCAUGCUUUACACAUGCCAGUCGAACGGUAACAGGCCUUCGGGUGCUGACGAGUGGCGAACGGGUGAGUAAUGCAUCGGAACGUGCCCAGAGGUGGGGGAUAACGCAGCGAAAGCUGUGCUAAUACCGCAUGUGAUCUGAGGAUGAAAGCGGGGGACCAGGCAGCAAUGUUUGGCCUCGCGCCUUUGGAGCGGCCGAUGUCAGAUUAGGUAGUUGGUGGGGUAAAGGCCUACCAAGCCGACGAUCUGUAGCUGGUCUGAGAGGACGACCGGCCACACUGGGACUGAGACACGGCCCAGACUCCUACGGGAGGCAGCAGUGGGGAAUUUUGGACAAUGGGCGCAAGCCUGAUCCAGCAAUGCCGCGUGCGGGAAGAAGGCCUUCGGGUUGUAAACCGCUUUUGUACGGAACGAAAAGGCUCUGGCUAAUACCUGGGGCUGAUGACGGUACCGUAAGAAUAAGCACCGGCUAACUACGUG
RNAcentral lists this ribosomal RNA (492 nucleotides) under uncultured bacterium. Its description in RNAcentral is "partial 16S ribosomal RNA". It matches the Rfam family "Bacterial small subunit ribosomal RNA", at positions 30 to 507 of the family's 1533-position model. The record is from RNAcentral.